AGAUUGAACGCUGGCGGCAUGCCUUACACAUGCAAGUCGAACGGCAGCACGGGGGCAACCCUGGUGGCGAGUGGCGAACGGGUGAGUAAUGCAUCGGAACGUGCCCAGUAGUGGGGGAUAACUAGUCGAAAGAUUAGCUAAUACCGCAUACGACCUAUGGGUGAAAGCGGGGGAUUCGCAAGAACCUCGCGCUAUCGGAGCGGCCGAUGUCUGAUUAGCUAGUUGGCGGGUAAAAGCCCACCAAGGCUUCGAUCAGUAGCUGGUCUGAGAGGACGACCAGCCACACUGGGACUGAGACACGGCCCAGACUCCGUACGGGAGCAGCAGUGGGGAAUUUUGGACAAGUGGGCGCAAGCCUGGAUCCAGCCAUCGCCGCGUGGACGGGAAGAGGUCCUUAGGUUCGUAACCGUCGUUUUAGGCGUAGGAACGAACGGCG
RNAcentral lists this ribosomal RNA (436 nucleotides) under uncultured soil bacterium. Its description in RNAcentral is "bacterial SSU rRNA". It matches the Rfam family "Bacterial small subunit ribosomal RNA", at positions 26 to 458 of the family's 1533-position model. The record is from RNAcentral.